Molecule: ribosomal RNA, 129 nt
Filed under: Petalonia binghamiae
Lineage: Eukaryota; Phaeophyceae; Ectocarpales; Scytosiphonaceae
Source: RNAcentral
GGUUAGCCUUUUUUUCUAGGUCUAUACCCGAACUCAUAUCGAACUCGAGAGUCCUUAUCUAGAAAGCCACACAUACUAAUUAUUAUUGGGAACCAUGGCUUUGUAAAGUAUUACAAUAAUCUUAGGGUU